CAGUAGGGAAUCUUCCGCAAUGCACGAAAGUGUGACGGGGCAAUGCCGCGUGUGGGAUGAAGCCCUUCGGGGUGUAAACCACUGUCAGGGUCUAGGAACACAAUGACCAUACCCAAAGGAAGCACCGGCUAACUCUGUGCCAGCAGCCGCGGUAAUACAGAGGGUGCGAGCGUUAAUCGGAAUCACUGGGCUUAAAGGGUCCGUAGGCGGGGCUGCAGGCGUCGAGUGAAAUACCACGGCUCAACCGUGGAACUGCUCGGCGAACCGCAGCUCUUGAGGCGAGCAGAGGCGAUCAGAACGAUAGGUGGAGCGGUGAAAUGCGUAGAUAUCUAUCGGAAUGCCGAAGGUGAAGACAGGUCGCUGGGCUCGUCCUGACGCUGAGGGACGAAAGCGUGGGGAGCAAACGGGAUUAGAUACCCCGGUAGUCCACGCCGUAAACAAUGCGCACUGGGUCGGAGGGGUUUGACGCCUUUCUGGCCGAAGCAAAAGUGUUAAGUGCGCCGCC
This 505-nucleotide ribosomal RNA is filed under the name uncultured Planctomycetota bacterium. RNAcentral describes it as "bacterial SSU rRNA". It matches the Rfam family "Bacterial small subunit ribosomal RNA", at positions 352 to 873 of the family's 1533-position model. The record is from RNAcentral. Lineage: Bacteria; Pseudomonadati; Planctomycetota.